Molecule: ribosomal RNA, 256 nt
Filed under: uncultured bacterium
Lineage: Bacteria
Description: partial 16S ribosomal RNA
Rfam family: Bacterial small subunit ribosomal RNA
Source: RNAcentral
UGGCGGACGGGUGAGUAAUGUCUGGGAAACUGCCUGAUGGAGGGGGAUAACUACUGAAACGGUAGCUAAUACCGCAUAACGUCGCAAGACCAAAGAGGGGGACCUUCGGGCCUCUUGCCAUCGGAUGUGCCCAGAUGGGAUUAGCUAGUAGGUGGGGUAAACGGCUCACCUAGGCGACGAUCCCUAGCUGGUCUGAGAGGAUGACCAGCCACACUGGAACUGAGACACGGUCCAGACUCCUACGGGAGGCAGCAUG